RNAcentral lists this ribosomal RNA (492 nucleotides) under uncultured bacterium. RNAcentral describes it as "partial 16S ribosomal RNA". It matches the Rfam family "Bacterial small subunit ribosomal RNA", at positions 29 to 507 of the family's 1533-position model. The record is from RNAcentral.
AGUGAACGCUGGCGGUAGGCCUAACACAUGCAAGUCGAACGGCAGCACAGUAAGAGCUUGCUCUUACGGGUGGCGGGUGGCGGACGGGUGAGGAAUACAUCGGAAUCUACUUUUUCGUGGGGGAUAACGUAGGGAAACUUCCGCUAAUACCGCAUACGACCUACGGGUGAAAGCAGGGGAUCUUCGGACCUUUCGCGAUUGAUUGAGCCGAUGUCGGAUUAGCUAGUUGGCGGGGUAAAGGCACACCAAGGCGACGAUCCGUAGCUGGUCUGAGAGGAUGAUCAGCCACACUGGAACUGAGACACGGUCCAGACUCCUACGGGAGGCAGCAGUGGGGAAUAUUGGACAAUGGGCGCAAGCCUGAUCCAGCCAUACCGCGUGGGUGAAGAAGGCCUUCGGGUUGUAAAGCCCUUUUGUUGGGAAAGAAAAGCAGUAGGUUAAUACCCCGCUGUUCUGACGGUACCCAAAGAAUAAGCACCGGCUAACUUCGUG